This 202-nucleotide long non-coding RNA is filed under the name Hordeum vulgare. RNAcentral's name for it is "long non-coding RNA (HVUL_LNC000534)". The record is from RNAcentral. Lineage: Eukaryota; Viridiplantae; Streptophyta; Magnoliopsida; Poales; Poaceae.
UUCAACUCCAUGAACGUCAACAUUCUCUUCCACUAUAGCUUCAACAAAAUUUCUAGUAUUUUCUUUCAUUUGUUUGUUUGGCAUAAAAAUUUCAUGCUCUUCUUCUACGGAAUUCACCUGAUCUUGAUGAGUGGCAUGUGCCGAAACAUUGACACCAUUGCGGGUGUUUGGAUUUGAGUUGUUUCCACUACCAAGUACUUCA